This 646-nucleotide ribosomal RNA is filed under the name uncultured Bacillus sp. RNAcentral describes it as "bacterial SSU rRNA". It matches the Rfam family "Bacterial small subunit ribosomal RNA", at positions 223 to 885 of the family's 1533-position model. Lineage: Bacteria; Bacillati; Bacillota; Bacilli; Caryophanales; Bacillaceae. The record is from RNAcentral.
GGAUGAGCCCGCGGCCUAUCAGCUUGUUGGUGGGGUGAUGGCCUACCAAGGCGGUGACGGGUAGCCGGCCUGAGAGGGCGACCGGCCACACUGGGACUGAGACACGGCCCAGACUCCUACGGGAGGCAGCAGUGGGGAAUAUUGCGCAAUGGGCGGAAGCCUGACGCAGCGACGCCGCGUGGGGGAUGACGGCCUUCGGGUUGUAAACCUCUUUCGGCCCUGACGAAUGUGACGGUAGGGGCUAAAGAAGCGCCGGCUAACUACGUGCCAGCAGCCGCGGUAAUGCGUAGGGCGCGAGCGUUGUCCGGAUUUACUGGGCGUAAAGGGCUCGUAGGCGGUUUGUCGCGUCGGUCGUGGAAAUGUCUGGCUUAACUGGGCACGUGCGGCUGAUACGGGCAGACUCGAGGGCGGUAGGGGCAAGCGGAAUUCCUGGUGUAGCGGUGAAAUGCGCAGAUAUCAGGAGGAACACCGAUGGCGAGGGCAGCUUGCUGGGCCGUUCCUGACGCUGAGGAGCGAAAGCGUGGGUAGCGAACAGGAUUAGAUACCCUGGUAGUCCAUGCUGUAAACGUUGGGCGCUAGGUGUGGGGACCAUUCUUGGUGUCCGUGCCGUAGCUAACGCAUUAAGCGCCCCGCCUGGGGAGUACGG